This 527-nucleotide ribosomal RNA is filed under the name uncultured bacterium. RNAcentral's name for it is "partial 16S ribosomal RNA". It matches the Rfam family "Bacterial small subunit ribosomal RNA", at positions 355 to 874 of the family's 1533-position model. The record is from RNAcentral.
UGGGGAAUUUUGGACAAUGGGCGAAAGCCUGAUCCAGCAAUGCCGCGUGUGUGAAGAAGGCCUUCGGGUUGUAAAGCACUUUUGUCCGGAAAGAAAUCCUUGGCUCUAAUACAGUCGGGGGAUGACGGUACCGGAAGAAUAAGCACCGGCUAACUACGUGCCAGCAGCCGCGGUAAUACGUAGGGUGCAAGCGUUAAUCGGAAUUACUGGGCGUAAAGCGUGCGCAGGCGGUUUGCUAAGACCGAUGUGAAAUCCCCGGGCUCAACCUGGGAACUGCAUUGGUGACUGGCAGGCUAGAGUAUGGCAGAGGGGGGUAGAAUUCCACGUGUAGCAGUGAAAUGCGUAGAGAUGUGGAGGAAUACCGAUGGCGAAGGCAGCCCCCUGGGCCAAUACUGACGCUCAUGCACGAAAGCGUGGGGAGCAAACAGGAUUCAGAUACCCUGGUAGUCCACGCCCUAAACGAUGUCAACUAGUUGUUGGGGAUUCAUUUCCUUAGUAACGUAGCUAACGCGUGAAGUUGACCGCCU